RNAcentral lists this ribosomal RNA (253 nucleotides) under uncultured bacterium. RNAcentral's name for it is "partial 16S ribosomal RNA". It matches the Rfam family "Bacterial small subunit ribosomal RNA", at positions 524 to 776 of the family's 1533-position model. The record is from RNAcentral.
UAUGGAGGGUGCAAGCAUUAAUCGGAUUUAUUGGGCGUAAAGGGCGCGUAGGCUGAUUAUCAAGUCAGAUGUGAAAUACCAAAGCUCAACUUUGGUGCUGCAUUUGGAACUGAUAAUCUUGAGGGUUGGCGGAGAAAAUGGAAUUCCACGUGUAGCGGUGAAAUGCGUAGAUAUGUGGAAGAACACCUGUGGCGAAAGCGAUUUUCUAGCUAAUACCUGACGCUGAGGCGCGAGAGCAAGGGGAGCAAACAGG